ACAGUGUUUGUUCAGUGGUAAAAUUCUCACCUUUCACAUGGGACACCCAGGUUUGAUUCCUGGCCAAUGUG
RNAcentral lists this transfer RNA (71 nucleotides) under Loxodonta africana (African savanna elephant). It matches the Rfam family "tRNA". Rfam says of the family: Transfer RNA (tRNA) molecules are approximately 80 nucleotides in length. Their secondary structure includes four short double-helical elements and three loops (D, anti-codon, and T loops). Lineage: Eukaryota; Metazoa; Chordata; Mammalia; Proboscidea; Elephantidae. The record is from Rfam by way of RNAcentral.